Molecule: ribosomal RNA, 618 nt
Filed under: uncultured Basidiomycota
Lineage: Eukaryota; Fungi; Basidiomycota
Description: LSU rRNA
Rfam family: Eukaryotic large subunit ribosomal RNA
Source: RNAcentral
GGACUACCCGCUGAACUUAAGCAUAUCAAUAAGCGGAGGAAAAGAAACUAACAAGGAUUCCCCUAGUAACUGCGAGUGAAGCGGGAAAAGCUCAAAUUUAAAAUCUGGCAGUCUUUGGCUGUCCGAGUUGUAGUCUGGAGAAGCGUCUUCCGCGCUGGACCGUGUACAAGUCUCCUGGAACGGAGCGUCAUAGAGGGUGAGAAUCCCGUCUUUGACACGGACUACCAGUGCUUUGUGAUGCGCUCUCAAAGAGUCGAGUUGUUUGGGAAUGCAGCUCAAAAUGGGUGGUAAACUCCAUCUAAAGCUAAAUAUUGGCGAGAGACCGAUAGCGAACAAGUACCGUGAGGGAAAGAUGAAAAGCACUUUGGAAAGAGAGUUAAACAGUACGUGAAAUUGCUGAAAGGGAAACGCUUGAAGUCAGUCGCGUCCGCUAGAACUCAGCCUGGCUUUCGCUUGGUGCAUUUUCUAGUGGACGGGCCAGCAUCACUUUUGGCUGCGGGAUAAAGGUCGCAGGAAUGUGGCACCUUCGGGUGUGUUAUAGCCUGUGAUUGUAUACCGUGGCUGGGAGUGAGGACCGCAGCACGCCUUCAUGGCGGGGGUUCGCCCACCUUCGUGCUU